Prionailurus viverrinus (fishing cat) is the source of this 325-nucleotide long non-coding RNA. RefSeq lists it as uncharacterized. Lineage: Eukaryota; Metazoa; Chordata; Mammalia; Carnivora; Felidae. The record is from RefSeq and is a predicted model, not a curated record. The transcript has 4 exons.
GCCUGCAGAAAAGAACCAGACCUUUAAGAAUUGGUCAAGAAUUUUCAUUUUGCAGACUUUACAGGUAACUUCAUCAGGUUCAUACUUACAUGGAAAUAAGUCUGCAGUAUUGCAUCUUAAGAAUCCGGAGUUGUUUGCAGCCUAUCUGAAGGUCCUCGAGCAUUUGGUCAGUAAGCAGGACACAACCAGAAAUAUCCAAAAUGUGCAGAACUGAGGGAAGGACCUGAGCUGUUGGAUCACUUGAUGCCAUCAGGAUGACUCCAGAGCCAGCAUCCAUGAAUCCAGAAGCAAUGUUCCAGACUUGCAGUUUCCAGUCUGUCCUGAG